Molecule: transfer RNA, 76 nt
Filed under: Acidobacteriota bacterium
Lineage: Bacteria; Pseudomonadati; Acidobacteriota
Description: tRNA-Lys
Rfam family: tRNA
About the family: Transfer RNA (tRNA) molecules are approximately 80 nucleotides in length. Their secondary structure includes four short double-helical elements and three loops (D, anti-codon, and T loops).
Source: RNAcentral
GGGCCGUUAGCUCAGUUGGCAGAGCAGCAGACUUUUAAUCUGAUGGUCGUAGGUUCGAUUCCUACACGGCCCACCA